UUGGAGGGCAAGUCUGGUGCCAGCAGCCGCGGUAAUUCCAGCUCCAAUAGCGUAUAUUAGAGUUGUUGCAGUUAAAAAGCUCGUAGUUGAAUUUCGGGAUCAAUAUGUUGGUCAUGCUUAGGUAUGUACUGGUAUUAUUGAUUUCUCCCUUCUGAAGAACCAUAAUGUCAUUAAUUUGAUGUCAUGGGGAAUCAGAACUGUUACUUUGAAAAAAUUAGAGUGUUUAAAGCAGGCUUUCGCUUGAAUACAUUAGCAUGAAAUAAUGAAAUAGGACGUUUGAUUCUAUUUUGUUGGUUUCUAGGAUCGACGUAAUGAUUAAUAGGGAUAGUUGGGGGCAUUAGUAUUCAAUUGUCAGAGGUGAAAUUCUUGGAUUUAUUGAAGACUAACUACUGCGAAAGCAUUUGCCAAGGAUGUUUUCAUUAAUCAAGAACGAAAGUUAGGGGAUCGAAGACGAUCAGAUACCGUCGUAGUCUUAACCAUAAACUAUGCCGACUAGGGAUCGGAUGAUGUUAAUUUUUUAAUGACUCAUUCGGCGCCUUACGGGAAACCAAAGUGUUUGGGUUC
This 564-nucleotide ribosomal RNA is filed under the name uncultured Glomus. Its description in RNAcentral is "SSU rRNA". It matches the Rfam family "Eukaryotic small subunit ribosomal RNA", at positions 548 to 1114 of the family's 1831-position model. Lineage: Eukaryota; Fungi; Glomeromycota; Glomeromycetes; Glomerales; Glomeraceae. The record is from RNAcentral.